Molecule: long non-coding RNA, 230 nt
Filed under: Elaeis guineensis (African oil palm)
Lineage: Eukaryota; Viridiplantae; Streptophyta; Magnoliopsida; Arecales; Arecaceae
Description: long non-coding RNA (EGUI_LNC035248)
Source: RNAcentral
AUGAAUGAUAGAAGAUGAGCAUUUUAAGAUCUAUGCAGAUGAAUGAAUGAUAGGAGAUAGAGUGCUUAGAGAUAUGUGUAAGUAGAUGGAUAAUGGGGGAUAAAAGAUAGAGCUUUUUGACAUCUAUGCAAAUGGAUGGAUAAUAUAGGCCAAGGGCUUUAAGAUCUAUGCAGGCAGAUGCAUGAUAGAGAUGAAGAGCUUAAGAAUCUAUGAAAGUGGAUGAUGCAGGU